UACGAAGGGGGCUAGCGUUGUUCGGAAUUACUGGGCGUAAAGCGCACGUAGGCGGACAUUUAAGUCAGGGGUGAAAUCCCGGGGCUCAACCCCCGGAACUGCCUUUGAUACUGGGUGUCUUGAGUGUGGAAGAGGUGAGUGGAAUUCCGAGUGUAGAGGUGAAAUUCGUAGAUAUUCGGAGGAACACCAGUGGCGAAGGCGGCUCACUGGUCCACAACUGACGCUGAGGUGCGAAAGCGUGGGGAGCAAACAGG
RNAcentral lists this ribosomal RNA (254 nucleotides) under uncultured bacterium. RNAcentral describes it as "partial 16S ribosomal RNA". It matches the Rfam family "Bacterial small subunit ribosomal RNA", at positions 524 to 776 of the family's 1533-position model. The record is from RNAcentral.